CAGUCGCCACGGUAAUACGUAGGGUGCAAGCGUUAAUCGGAAUUACUGGGCGUAAAGCGUGCGCAGGCGGUUAUAUAAGACAGAUGUGAAAUCCCCGGGCUCAACCUGGGAACUGCAUUUGUGACUGUAUAGCUAGAGUACGGCAGAGGGGGAUGGAAUUCCGCGUGUAGCAGUGAAAUGCGUAGAUAUGCGGAGGAACACCGAUGGCGAAGGCAAUCCCCUGGGCCUGUACUGACGCUCAUGCACGAAAGCGUGGGGAGCAAACAGGAUUAGAUACCCCGGUAGUCCCUGUCUCUUAUAC
This 301-nucleotide ribosomal RNA is filed under the name uncultured bacterium. RNAcentral describes it as "partial 16S ribosomal RNA". It matches the Rfam family "Bacterial small subunit ribosomal RNA", at positions 509 to 807 of the family's 1533-position model. The record is from RNAcentral.